AGCUCCAAUAGCGUAUAUUAAAGUUGCUGCAGUUAAAAAGCUCGUAGUUGCAUUUCCGAGGCAAGGGAUUAGUCCGACCUUUGGUGGGUAUUUAAUCCUCUUGCCUCGUCCUUGAGUGGUGCUUCUUGGUAUUAAGUUAUCGAGGAGAUAGCCGCUCAUCGUUUACUGUGAGAAAAUUAGAGUGUUCAAAGCAGGCUUAUGCCGUUGAAUAUAUUAGCAUGGAAUAAUAAGAUAGGACCUCGGUACUAUUUUGUUGUUUUGAGAACCAAGGUAAUGAUGAAUAGGGACAGUUGGGGGUAUUCGUAUUCAGUUGUCAGAGGUGAAAUUCUUAGAUUUACGGAAGACGAACUACUGCGAAAGCAUUUUCCAAGGAUGUUUUCA
RNAcentral lists this ribosomal RNA (381 nucleotides) under uncultured marine Chaetocerotaceae. RNAcentral's name for it is "SSU rRNA". It matches the Rfam family "Eukaryotic small subunit ribosomal RNA", at positions 587 to 972 of the family's 1831-position model. Lineage: Eukaryota; Bacillariophyta; Thalassiosirophyceae; Chaetocerotales; Chaetocerotaceae. The record is from RNAcentral.